CCUACGGGAGGCAGCAGUGAGGAAUAUUGGUCAAUGGGCGGAAGCCUGAACCAGCCAAGUCGCGUGAAGGAUGAAGGCUCUGUGCGUUGUAAACUUCUUUUAUCGGGGAAUAAAGUGACGGACGUGUUCGUUUUUGUAUGUACCCUAUGAAUAAGCAUCGGCUAACUCCGUGCCAGCAGCCGCGGUAAUACGGAGGAUGCGAGCGUUAUCCGGAUUUAUUGGGUUUAAAGGGUGCGUAGGUGGGCCGUUAAGGCAGUGGUGAAAGUUUGGGGCUCAACCCUACAAUUGCCGUUGAAACUGGGGGCCUUGAGUGCAGUGGAGGUAGGCGGAAUGCGUGGUGUAGCGGUGAAAUGCAUAGAUAUCACGCAGAACCCCGAUUGCGAAGGCAGCGUACCAAGCUGCCACUGACACUGAGGCACGAAAGCGUGGGGAUCAAACAGGAUUAGAUACCCGUGUAGUC
RNAcentral lists this ribosomal RNA (460 nucleotides) under uncultured bacterium. RNAcentral's name for it is "partial 16S ribosomal RNA". It matches the Rfam family "Bacterial small subunit ribosomal RNA", at positions 338 to 795 of the family's 1533-position model. The record is from RNAcentral.